This 481-nucleotide ribosomal RNA is filed under the name Dichopygina aculeata. RNAcentral's name for it is "partial 16S ribosomal RNA". The record is from RNAcentral. Lineage: Eukaryota; Metazoa; Arthropoda; Insecta; Diptera; Sciaridae.
GUCUUUUUGGAAUUUAUAUAAAGUUUAACCUGCCCAUUGAAAUUUUUUAAAAGGCUGCGGUAUUUUGACCGUACAAAGGUAGCAUAGUCAUUAGUUUUUUAAUUGAAAACUUGUAUGAAUGGUUGAAUGAAAAAUUAACUUUUUUUUUAAAAAUAUUGAAUUUUACUUUUUAAUUAAAAGGUUAAAAUUAAUUUAAAAGACGAGAAGACCCUAUAGAGUUUUAUAAUUGUCAUUAUUUUAUUUAUAAAGUUUAUUUAAAAUUUAAUAUUAAUAAUUAUUUUGUUGGGGUGAUAAUAAAAUUUAAUUAACUUUUAUUUAUUUUAUACAUUAAUAUAUGAUUAUUUGAUCCAUUAUUAAUGAUUAAAAAAUUAAAUUACCUUAGGGAUAACAGCGUAAUUUUUUUUUAAGUUCUUAUUAAUAAAAAAUUUUGCGACCUCGAUGUUGGAUUAAGAUUUAAUUUUAGGUGCAGCAGUUUAAAUUU